This is a small nucleolar RNA of Pongo abelii (Sumatran orangutan), 101 nucleotides long. NCBI's taxonomy places the organism in Eukaryota, Metazoa, Chordata, Mammalia, Primates, Hominidae. The record is from Ensembl.
ACCAUGUUGUGGUUCACAAGCGUUAUAACUCAGUUUUUACGCUCACGUGUGAGACAUGCCUCCUUCCAAUCUUGUUAUGUCAGCACAUUAUCCAUCUGCUG